RNAcentral lists this ribosomal RNA (516 nucleotides) under Cylindrolepas sinica. RNAcentral's name for it is "partial 16S rRNA". It matches the Rfam family "Bacterial large subunit ribosomal RNA", at positions 1832 to 2610 of the family's 2925-position model. The record is from RNAcentral. Lineage: Eukaryota; Metazoa; Arthropoda; Thecostraca; Balanomorpha; Coronulidae.
UUCCUCUUGAUCUAAAGAGGUAGGGCCUGCUCACUGAGUAUUUAAAGAGCCGCAGUAUCCUGACUGUGCUAAGGUAGCAUAAUCAUUAGUCUUUUAAUUGGAGACUGGUAUGAAUGGUUUAACGAGAAAUCAACUUUUUUUACUAUAAAGAUCGAAUUUAACAUCUUAGUGAAAAGGCUAAGAUAAAUCAAAAAGACGAGAAGACCCUAUAGAGUUUUAUUGGUAUUCUCAACUCAUUUUUGAUUUGACUUAUUCAAAAAUGAGUUGAGAUCUAGUUUUGUUGGGGCGACAUUAAGAUAAAAAAAACUCUUUAUUAAAAAAAUUUUAAUAAAAAUACGCUUGAUCCUUUAAAAAAGAUUAAAAGAAAAAAUUACCUUAGGGAUAACAGCGUAAUCUUUUUUGAGAGUUCUAAUCGACAAAAAGGUUUGCGACCUCGAUGUUGGACUAAAAUUUAGGCAGGGUGCAGCAGUUCUGCUUUUAGGUCUGUUCGACCUAUAAUAUUUUACAUGAUCUAGU